UGAGGAGUUUUCCACAAUGGGCGAAAGCCUGAUGGAGCAAUGCCGCGUGGAGGAAGAAGGUCCGUGGAUCGUAAACUCCUUUUCUCAGAGAAGAAGAAAUGACGGUAUCUGAGGAAUAAGCUCCGGCUAAUUCUGUGCCAGCAGCCGCGGUAAUACAGGAGGAGCAAGCGUUAUCCGGAAUGAUUGGGCGUAAAGCGUCUGUAGGUGGUUUAACAAGUCAACUGUCAAAUACGUUGGCUCAACCAACGGCAGGCAGUCGAGAACUGUUGGACUAGAGUGCGGUAGAGGUAGAGGGAAUCCCUAGCGUAACAGUGAAAUGUGUAGAUUUUAGGGAGAACACCAGCGGCGAAGGCGCUCUACUGGGCCGAGACUGACACUGAGAGACGAAAGCUACGGGAGC
This 400-nucleotide ribosomal RNA is filed under the name uncultured bacterium. RNAcentral describes it as "bacterial SSU rRNA". It matches the Rfam family "Bacterial small subunit ribosomal RNA", at positions 355 to 769 of the family's 1533-position model. The record is from RNAcentral.